AUAAAUCGAGUAUUCAACAUGGCUUAUGAAUUUCUUAAAACUUUGGCUCGUGCCAAAAUCAUUCUCAUACUCAGUUAUCAGGAAUACCUUGGUCGAGGGCUAUCCCAACCGAGUCCACCAAGGCUGUUAAAAAGUUAUGUACACAUAAAUCAUGUUUUUAUUUUGAAAACAUAGUCAUUCCUUGGCAUUGGCUGAGUUCACCCUCACGUGGUGGUUUGGUGUGAAGUGAACUCUAAAGUGUUAACCUCAGGAGCUAUCCAUCCGCGCCUCUCAUACUGAGGUAUGAAUAUAAUAGGGUUACCAUGCCCCCUCUAAUAGGCUGGUCCACGGAACCCGUCCACUGCAGCGACUAAUCAAUCACCCACCAAUGUAAUAAAAUUUAACAGCAUGACAUGAAAAUUUUAUCAUUAUCCAGCCUAUCAAGGCAAACAACAGUUUAUACAUUUUCAACACAAAUACCAAUUCAGCCAUUCAUGCCAAUAUUGCUAUAAGCCAAUAAAUUAGAACCAUAAAUUCACAAUACAUCAAAUGGUCUCCAAUUACUCUAUUUUCAAAGCCAUCAUUCAAUUUCAAGACAAUUUAUAAAAUCAUUUCAUUUAAACACAUUUUGUUUAUAAAACAUAAAGAUUUACCAUUUAAACUCAUUUUUCUAUCAAAUCACAAAAACAAUUAAAAACUAAUUUAGAUAAUUAAGACGAUAGUAAGGUUACUCACUAUAAUGGGAAUCGAAUUCCAAGUACUCCGAUUCUUGAUCUUCGGGUGCUAUCUCUUUACUUUUGUCAGAAUGCUCACCACUUAGACAUAAUGCACAAUAAGCCAUUUACU
This 825-nucleotide long non-coding RNA is filed under the name Theobroma cacao (cacao). Its description in RNAcentral is "long non-coding RNA (TCAC_LNC000406)". The record is from RNAcentral. Lineage: Eukaryota; Viridiplantae; Streptophyta; Magnoliopsida; Malvales; Malvaceae.